UACGUAGGCAGCAAACGUUGUUCGGAGUUACUGGGCGUAAAGAGUACGUAGGCGGUUUGCCAAGUUUGGUGUGAAAUCUCCUGGCUUAACUGUGAGCGUGCGGGCGAUACGGGCAGACUGGAGUACUGCAGGGGAGACUGGAAUUCCUGGUGUAGCGGUGGAAUGCGCAGAUAUCAGGAGGAACACCGGUGGCGAAGGCGGGUCUCUGGGCAGUAACUGACGCUGAGGAGCGAAAGCGUGGGGAGCGAACAGG
This 253-nucleotide ribosomal RNA is filed under the name uncultured bacterium. RNAcentral describes it as "partial 16S ribosomal RNA". It matches the Rfam family "Bacterial small subunit ribosomal RNA", at positions 524 to 776 of the family's 1533-position model. The record is from RNAcentral.